GGACGACGCUGGCGGCGUGCCUAACACAUGCAAGUCGAGCGAGAAUCUUUCAAAUGAUCCCUUCGGGGUGAUUUUGGAAGAGGAAGCGGCGGACGGGUGAGUAACGCGUGAGUAACCUGCCCUUUGGAGGGGGACAACAUUCCGAAAGGAAUGCUAAUACCGCAUAACAUAUAUUUAAGGCAUCUUAGAUAUAUCAAAGAUUUAUCGCCAAAGGAUGGACUCGCGUCUGAUUAGUUAGUUGGUGAGGUAACGGCUCACCAAGACCGCGAUAGGUAGCCGACCUGAGAGGGUGAACGGCCACACUGGAACUGAGAAACGGACCAGACUCCUACGGGAGGCAGCAGUGGGGAAUAUUGGGCAAUGGAGGCAACUCUGACCCAGCAACGCCGCGUGAAGGAAGAAGGCCUUCGGGUUGUAAACUUUUGUUGUAGAGGACGAAGAAAGUGACUGUACUCUACGAGGAAGCCCCGGCUAACUAUGUG
RNAcentral lists this ribosomal RNA (482 nucleotides) under uncultured bacterium. RNAcentral's name for it is "bacterial SSU rRNA". It matches the Rfam family "Bacterial small subunit ribosomal RNA", at positions 33 to 507 of the family's 1533-position model. The record is from RNAcentral.